RNAcentral lists this ribosomal RNA (439 nucleotides) under uncultured bacterium. RNAcentral's name for it is "partial 16S ribosomal RNA". It matches the Rfam family "Bacterial small subunit ribosomal RNA", at positions 339 to 795 of the family's 1533-position model. The record is from RNAcentral.
CUACGGGGGGCACCAGUGGGGAAUAUUGGACAAUGGGCGCAAGCCUGAUCCAGCAAUGCCGCGUGAGUGAAGACGGCCUUAGGGUUGUAAAACUCUUUCGCUAGGGAAGAUAAUGACUGUACCUAGUAAAGAAGUCCCGGCUAACUCCGUGCCAGCAGCCGCGGUAAUACGGAGGGGACUAGCGUUGUUCGGAAUUACUGGGCGUAAAGAGUUCGUAGGCGGACUGACAAGUUAGAGGUGAAAUCCCAGGGCUCAACCAUGGAACUGCCUUUAAAACUGUCAGUCUAGAGACCGGAAGAGGUUAGGGGAAUACCUAGUGUAGAGGUGAAAUUCGUAGAUAUUAGGUGGAACACCAGUGGCGAAGGCGCCUAACUGGUCCGGUACUGACGCUGAGGAACGAAAGCGUGGGGAGCAAACAGGAUUAGAUACCCGUGUAGUC